Salmo salar (Atlantic salmon) is the source of this 54-nucleotide non-coding RNA. The record is from Rfam. Lineage: Eukaryota; Metazoa; Chordata; Actinopteri; Salmoniformes; Salmonidae.
UGCAUGCAUGACUGUAAAUCGCUUUGGACAAAAGCGUCUGCUAAAAGACAUAUU